Molecule: ribosomal RNA, 464 nt
Filed under: uncultured bacterium
Lineage: Bacteria
Description: partial 16S ribosomal RNA
Rfam family: Bacterial small subunit ribosomal RNA
Source: RNAcentral
CCUACGGGUGGCUGCAGUGGGGAAUAUUGCGCAAUGGGCGAAAGCCUGACGCAGCGACGCCGCGUGAGGGAUGAAGGUCUUCGGAUCGUAAACCUCUGUCAGCAGGGAAGAACGGUCACUGUGCUAAUCAGCAGUGAAUUGACGGUACCUGCAAAGGAAGCACCGGCUAACUCCGUGCCAGCAGCCGCGGUAAUACGGAGGACCCGAGCGUUAUCCGGAUUUAUUGGGUUUAAAGGGUGCGUAGGCGGAUUUUUAAGUCAGCGGUAAAAUGUCCGGGCUCAACCCGGGCCGGCCGUUGAAACUGGGGAUCUUGAGUGGGCGAGAAGUAUGCGGAAUGCGUGGUGUAGCGGUGAAAUGCUUAGAUAUCACGAAGAACUCCGAUUGCGAAGGCAGCUUACUAAACUGCCACUGACAUUGAUGCUCGAAAGUGUGGGUAUCAAACAGGAUUAGAUACCCGGGUAGUC